Molecule: ribosomal RNA, 497 nt
Filed under: uncultured bacterium
Lineage: Bacteria
Description: partial 16S ribosomal RNA
Rfam family: Bacterial small subunit ribosomal RNA
Source: RNAcentral
GACGAACGCUGGCGGCGUGCCUAAUACAUGCAAGUUGAGCGCUGAAGGUUGGUACUUGUACCAACUGGAUGAGCAGCGAACGGGUGAGUAACGCGUGGGGAAUCUGCCUUUGAGCGGGGGACAACAUUUGGAAACGAAUGCUAAUACCGCAUAAAAACUUUAAACACAAGUUUUAAGUUUGAAAGAUGCAAUUGCAUCACUCAAAGAUGAUCCCGCGUUGUAUUAGCUAGUUGGUGAGGUAAAGGCUCACCAAGGCGAUGAUACAUAGCCAACCUGAGAGGGUAAUCGGCCCCAUUGGGACUGAGACACGGCCCAAACUCCUACGGGAGGCAGCAGUAGGGAAUCUUCGGCGAUGGACGAAAGUCUGACCGAGCAACGCCGCGUGAGUGAAGAAGGUUUUCGGAUCGUAAAACUCUGUUGGUAGAGAAGAACGUUGGUGAGAGUGGAAAGCUCAUCAAGUGACGGUAACUACCCAGAAAGGGACGGCUAACUACGUG